RNA transcript from Papaver somniferum (opium poppy), 1996 nucleotides. RefSeq lists it as uncharacterized. The record is from RefSeq and is a predicted model, not a curated record. The transcript has 4 exons. Lineage: Eukaryota; Viridiplantae; Streptophyta; Magnoliopsida; Ranunculales; Papaveraceae.
AACUUCCCUUUUCUUCCCUCUCCCUCUCUCGUUUCUCUUACCCCACGAUCUCCAAACCUCGCCUCUCUCGAGUAAACGAAAACCCUAACUCAGUCACAACUAUAACCACCUUUACUUCCAGAACGAACACCGAAGAAUCCCUGAUCUUCUUCUUCUCAUAUAUGGAUGUUUUUGGUAACAAAAUCGAUUUCAUCUGAAAUCGCUCAUCUCUUGUGUAAAAAAGUCACUCUUCUCUUUGUCUAAGCUAUCGACUUCAUCUGAAAUCGGUCAAGGGUUUGCUCAAGUCACUUUGUUUUCAUUACUCUUUCUCUAGCAGAUGAAGAUUGAUGAACAAGAUGAAGGAUGCUGGAACUUCUAAAAGAGAACAUGCAGUCAUGGAGAAGAUUAAAGAAGCACACAUGAGAGUGAUGGUGGCUAACCAUCCUCACAAGGGUGGGAGCAUGUAUCUUGCUAAAAAGAUCAACGAGGCUGAGGUACUUUUGAUGGAUGAGGGUCGAUUUCAAUUCUUUCCAUGUGAAGGUAGGACUGAUUGUUGAGCUAGAAGUCAUAGAACAAGUCAAGCUGGUGUUUUAUAAAACAAGAAGAAUAAUCAACCAAGAGGGGUACGAUUGAAUAUGAGUCAUGACAAUCUCUAUUUUUCUUUGUUGAUUUUUUUAAGCUAGGGUUUGUUGUUAGGAUUGACAGAUGCUGAUGAUCCUAUUCCCAGAUCUAGUAAUGGCUUGUCUGAAGAAAUUUCUUUUAAGAUUCUGAAACAUGUGUGGGUUUCUUUUUCUGAAUUCUGUGGUUUUGGUCAGCAUUUUGUGAUUUUAGUGAGUUGCAACUUGUUGCGGCAGGGUUGGAUGUCUAUAGCACAAGUCUUCUACAUCUAUCCAGUUAUUAUCUUAUCUUGAUUACUAAAUGUACCAUGUUUCAGGAAGUUAUAUCCAGAAAUGUAUUGGUUAAUGAAUGUUCAAGGCAGGUUGUCGAGGUGGAGCAAGCAGCCAUGUGGAAGUUUCUUUGGUGGUCGGGAAUCAUAGUUGUCCAUGUUAUGGUUGGCUAAAACAUAGAUGAUCACUCGGAAGCUACUUUCAUAUGCAUAAACGUCUGUUAUAGUAAUUCUUGAUUUCUGAAACUUUCCUCCAGCAUUUCCUUUCCUCCAGCAUUUCCUCCUCAAGCCUUUGUCUUUUAUUUCCUUCUUGGUUUGCGGGAUGAGUUCAGCUUGUUGAUGUACUUUAUGUUGAGUGUUUGCAUUUGUCUCUUUGUGAAGGAAGGACUCAUGCUGGUUGUUGCAACAAUCUGACAAGAUAUAUGCUGGAGCAUUUUGACAGUGAUUCAGUGAUUCGAAUCACAGUUUGAUUCUUCACAAGACUAAACUUUGUGCUCCUGCACUUGCUCCAUUCAAGGCUUAUUACGAAGGCGAUGGUUUUUCCGAUGUGUUUGAUUUGUCAUUGUUAUCUCAUGUCAGGGUUCGUAAUCUUAUUAGUACCUUAAAGUUUGUAUAGCGUCAGUAGUCUGUUCGGUCUGAACUAACCCAAGAACAUCACCCUAAUAGUAUUGCUCAGCAAAGAACUCUUCUCCCGCUAACCAGAAUCCAUCUCAUUUAUUUUGAUGCUUCUUAUAUAGAAUCUAAUCGUACUAUUAGAAUCGGUAUCAUUCUUCUUGAUAAUGCAGGAAACUUUUGGGGUGCCAAAACAAUCCCAAGCAAAACAUGAGAUGCUUAACAUGUUGAAGCCAAGGCUCUUCUUGUAGCCACACUAUGGGUUAACGAGCUGGAACUGCAGUUUACUUCAAAGGGGACUGAAUCAUUUUGAAGAUGUAUGCUAUGCUAUCUAGUGUUCAAAUCACCAUAGUUAACUAUUGCUGUUAUAGUGGUCUCUGUCAAGUUUUCUAGAUUUUUGGUUUGGUUAGUGUCAGUAUUAUUCGAAAAAAAAUAUUGUCUUUAGGUUUCUGUUAGUAUUAUUUUGUAACAUUUGAUAAGGUCUUAUUUGGAAUAAAAUUUCUGUUAAUUCUGGGUAAA